GAUGAACGCUGGCGGCGUGCCUAAUACAUGCAAGUCGAGCGAACAGACGAGAGUGCUUGCACUCUCUGACGUUAGCGGCGGACGGGUGAGUAACACGUGGGUAACCUACCUAUAAGACUGGGCUAACUUCGGGAAACCGGAGCUAAUACCGGAUAAUAUUUAGCUUCGCAUGAAGCAAUAGUGAAAGACGGUUCUGCUGUCACUUAUAGAUGGACCCGCGGUGUAUUAGCUAGUUGGUGAGGUAACGGCUCACCAAGGCAACGAUACAUAGCCGACCUGAGAGGGUGAUCGGCCACACUGGGACUGAGACACGGCCCAGACUCCUACGGGAGGCAGCAGUAGGGAAUCUGCCGCAAUGGACGAAAGUCUGACGGAGCAAUGCCGCGUGAGUGAAGAAGGUUUUCGGAUCGUAAAACUCUGUUGUAAGGGAAGAACAAGUACGUUAGUAACUGAACGUACCUUGACGGUACCGUACCAGAAAGCCACGGCUAACUACGUG
This 499-nucleotide ribosomal RNA is filed under the name uncultured bacterium. Its description in RNAcentral is "partial 16S ribosomal RNA". It matches the Rfam family "Bacterial small subunit ribosomal RNA", at positions 28 to 507 of the family's 1533-position model. The record is from RNAcentral.